UGUGGGAGCUGGCUUGCCUGCGAUAACGGUGUGUCAGCCAGCCCAUUUGCAACUGACAGUCCGCUAUCGCAGGCAAGCCAGCUCCCACA
RNAcentral lists this unclassified non-coding RNA (89 nucleotides) under Pseudomonas libanensis. Lineage: Bacteria; Pseudomonadati; Pseudomonadota; Gammaproteobacteria; Pseudomonadales; Pseudomonadaceae. The record is from RNAcentral.